This 4072-nucleotide long non-coding RNA is filed under the name Bombyx mandarina (wild silkworm). RNAcentral describes it as "uncharacterized LOC114250025". Lineage: Eukaryota; Metazoa; Arthropoda; Insecta; Lepidoptera; Bombycidae. The record is from RNAcentral.
UUUUUAAAAAGCAAUCUUUACAACACAAGUUUGGUACCAUAUCUUGAGUCCAAUUUCCGAAAUACAAGAAAUUAAUACAAAUACAAGAGAAUUGCUCGCGUAAUACAAAUAUGUUAGGUUUAUGCAUGAUUCCGUACUUCAUAUUAAUUACAUUUCAUAUUCAUAAAGCUUUGAAUCUAUUCAAUGCAUAACGGACAAAAUAAAUAUCACAAAAUAAUUGUAAAAUAGAGUUCAUUUUUGCAUAGUAUCAAGAUCCAGCCAAGUCCCCCUCGCAUCGCUCUCUGCCAGACGCAGUUUAAUCAAUACAAAUGCCGCAGUGCGGAGACGCGAACUCACACUGCGCACCGUGCUUUAUAAAGUGACGAGGGCUUCUCUGGUCCAUUAUUCUCACUCGAGCUCUGAAGCUGUGCAGACGUGUUAACAUAUAGUCUCAUAAAGUGAAAAAUUUUUCAGAUUGUUUAAGAUUAUUCCAUAAUAUAAUUAAUAUUAACAUCAAAUACGCACGUCGUCAUCGUUACUGUAACUGAAUUUGAGGACAUUCAACAUGACUGCACUUCGCUCCACUCAUCACUUUAAAUUCCAGCGUGGCUUCAAAAGAGAUAUUAGCUAUUUCAAGAUUAUGGGUAUAAGUGAAUACCUGAAAUAUUUAUAUAAAUAAUCAAGAUCAGCAACAAUAUUAAUCAAAAGAAAUGAAUGAUCACGAGUACUCACUGUUGGAACAAAAUUGAUUAAUUAAAUAAACGUAUUAACAACGGAAAGAUUGAAAGGAGCUUGGAAGGAUGGAAAGAAGCUUGAAGAAGAGUUUUCUCUUGGCCUUACUUCACUUCCCGUUACAAACGUUUACAUCUACCUGACAAAAAUCCUAUUUAUUUAUACUUUACCAUAAUUUUAUUCACUCAAAAUAUGAGUGUAGUUGAACAUCGUACACAGACUGUUUGAAAUUAAACCCUGCAGUACAUGUCUGUCUGUGUUCUGUCUGUCAGCGAAUAGAACAAAUCUACAGAAAUCUUCAAUUACUAUUUCAAGAAAUUUAUCAUUUACUAAACAUACUAGAUCCCAACUAAUAUUCGGAUGUAGCACAGACACUCGCUUACUGGAUGUCUUGUACAACAGUAUACUAUUAUAAUAGAUUCAAACGGCCUCGUUCAAAAAUUUUUUUUCGAAGUAAUCCUUACCGUGAACAAAUAGCAUACUUAAAAAGUUAUCUGUUAUCGCUUCCAUUAGUACGGUAGUUUUUAUGAAUUCUCGUUUAUUUCAUAUAUCGUGGAUAACUUACCUUACAUAACGCUCAUAAUUUCUAUAGGCAAAGUGUUAGGAGCCGUGCUGUCUCCGGCUUUAAAGAAUAGAACAGACCCAUUUCGUUCCGUGGGUGUCGUAAAAGGCGACUAAGGAUAACAAACCAGAUCCGAUAUCAACAUCUAGGAUCUCCGUGCGGUUUCGGAUGAGAAUAGAACCGACCCUUUAUUGUUGUCAGGGUGUCGUAAAAGGCGACUAAUGACUAAGUGGAAAACAACAUCUCAUCCACCAAUUCGCGUAACGCGGAUUGCGGUAUCGAUACAGGAUUCAGAUCUUGUCAACCUUGCCAGUCACGAUUUUAAGACCUAAGGUGAGAUCGAAUGUUAUGUUACUCUCGAAUGGCCACCCGUUAGCAUGCUGGGUAUGUGGGGAACUACCGCCGUGGUAAUAGCGGCAUUUUUCAGUUACCACAACGUUAACCAUUAUCUACAUACAAUUUCUAAACAUGCGUCGUGCAUUAAAGAUUUCACCAGUUGAUGUGGAUUUGAACAGGUUAGGAUAGUCGCAUUACUAGUCAUUGAACUACGCUAUUGACGACGAUUACCUAACACGUUGAUACCGAUAAAUUAUAGGCCGUGCUGUAUCCGGCUUACAGAAUAGACCAGCCCCGUCUCAUUCCUUGGGUGUCGUAAAAGGCGACUAAAGGAAAAACCAGAUCCGAUACAACAUCUAGGAUCUCCGUGCGGUUUCGGAUAAGAAUAGAACCGACCCUACACUGUCUAAGGGUGUCGUAAAAGGCGACUAAUGACUUUAAGGGGGAAACCAACAUCGAAUCGGUGAAUUCGUGCGACGCGGAUUGGGGUAUAAUGUUUCCGUGUUGAUUUUUAAAUCUUCAGUUUGUAUUAUUAAGUACUUAUAAUUCUAUUAGAAGCCCUAUCUCGAUAUUAUAUUGUUUCGAAUUAAGUGUUUAAUUUCUUAUGUUUUAACCAUUAUAACCCUGUCCGAAUUGCGAGCGCUCACUCGCAUGUCUGCGAUGAAGCCGAAUCUACAUUUACGCUCAAGGCGAGGACAGGGUCCAGUUGGGUGAUUCUAACGCAAAUAGUUAGUUCAUGCCACUGUACGUAGGACGAGCCCCGCGGGGCUCCCUCGCGACUCUUCUGGACUUGAAAGCUAUCUGUAUCUCCCUUUUACUAGGCGUAUAUGAGCCUGGGCCACAUUUCUUUGACUCUCCUUUUGACUGGCAGAGGAUUGAGACAGAAGUGUGGUAGAAUGCGUUAUGAAAUGUUCCACAACGAUACGGUUUGUGUGCUAUCUGUUUGCUAUUCAAGGGCGCUCUGAAUGAUCUCUGAAUUCGCGGGCUUAUAUUUACACUUGUCUUGUGCAGAGAUAAACAACAUCCUGCACAUUGACGACCGUAAUGUGGAAUGUUACUGUUACUCGUCACGAAGUGAGUACCCGUGGAUGUGAUAGAUUCGAUACCUUAUAGACGAAAAUGUUAGUUGUGUUUUACUAACUUUAACUCAUUGUUUUCUAUGAAAACCCUAUUCCUAAUCGUUCAGUUACAUUUUGACCCCGUUAUAUAAUUUAGUCUCACUGUUUGAUUUCGUUUUCAUCUGUAAGGAGUAUUUGAACUAUCCGAGAGGCCGCGAUGUGUACUCUUGACGUGAUUUUGUUAAUGUUUGCAUAAUUUUAAUGGUGUUGAUGUUACAAAUGGAUGCAUGUUACGUUUGAUGUUACAUACUAUUUCCUUCGUUGUUUAUUGUAUUUUGUUUUAUUCUCGAAUACGUAUUCAUCUAAUUGCGUUUGUAAUUUAAGGGAUGGUUUAAUAUUAAUUUUGAUUCGAUAUAAUUUUCAAAUUAUAACGUUUACUUUGGACUUUCCAAGUUAUGUAUGAUAAUUUCAAGUUCGUAUUUUAAGUUCUUUUAGUUCGGGGUGUAAGUGGUUCUACCUAGACCUUCUGAGCCAAAGCCAACCUCUCCUGCACGCGGCGCACCCUGCCGACCAACAAACGAGGCUCUGGCGAGGCGUGGUCGUCACGGAACCACCGUCGCCUACAUCGUAGACGACUCUGGCUCCGACCAUAAAUUUCCAACGACGACACUUUGAAUAACGACUACGUCUCUAACAUUCAGUGUCGUAUUUACUAAUGUAAGACUUCGCAGUCAUACUUACCCCAUUUCAUUUCUAUAUUAGACUAGUAAAGCACUUCCAGUAAUAUGGGUUACUGUCUAAGGCUUUAGGUGUAGAUUUUAUUCUAAUCGUCAUUAUAUGUGUAAAUGUAUCUCCAAAAUACGGCAGCGAUACAUUAAUUAAUCUAGGUUAUUGUCUCAGGUCUCUGGUGUCAACGUUUCUCCAAAGAACACCGGCGAUACGCGAAUCGUUAUCAAUUAUGAUUAUUAUAAUUGAUUUAAGCACAGUACUUUUAAACCGUUUCGUUAUUGUGGGUGCGAUUCCAUGAUAAACGUGGAUUUUGAUGAGGCGACUCAUUCGAUAACUCGUAGCUGUAAGUUAGAUUAAGGUUGAAUGUAUAGGACUUAAUACUCGAUACGUCAAAAACCCUAUACCAUUCGCAGUAUUUCAAAAAGACCUCAGUGGUAAAGCACUUUCAAUUAGCACAUAACUCAGCGUUAGCAUUCAAAUGACUUUCCGUCAUUUACAUAAGCUAAACAGUUUAUGCAAUGUAAUCGGACGUAUUUCUCAUUGAGAUAUUUGCUCUCGAAGUACGAUUACGUGUUUAAUCAACUUAGUAUUAUAUUCCAUUUACUUACAUUUUUUAUAUGUGUGUCUUGUGUCCUAUCUUAAUCUUGAAAUAAAAUUGGUGUGUAGUAGUCAUAAA